AGCUGACGUUUUGUUCCAGCUGCUCUUUCAGGGCAGGGAGCCAACACCUUGAUGAGAGGCAGGGCACACGUGUCUUGAUGCUGUUCUGCGACUGCCUGAUGGCUAUUUCUCAGUGCUGUUGUACACCUGGGAUCGGUGGCAGGCCCAGACACCCUUGCCAUCUAUAGCUCCGAAAAGCCUCAGCGCAGGAAGUCCCCUCCAAAACCAUUAUACCAAUGCGAUCUCAACACUAGAUUUUGUAAGAAGCUCAUCUGCAGUUAAAGUACUAACAUAAGCAGCAGGCAUAUGACCGAUGGUUUGACUAAUGUCAAGCCAGAAGUGGUUUUGGAGCAGGGUUUCAAACUACACCAUGGGAGAAAACUGUAUCCAGUGCUUGUCUUUAAACGGAAAGCAACGACAGGAAGAAGAAGAUAGCCUCAGCUCCCCAGAGAUCACCUGUGAUACAAAAGAUGAUCUACAAAAGCUGGAGGCUUGGAUUCAGGAGAGGAAGCAACUCCGGUCUCAGCUGAAAAGCUUUGGAGAUGUUGAAAAAUGGCUGAGUCAUAAACCUACCUUUACCAAACUGGAAGAAAGAGUCAGGAAACGAAUAACGGCAGCUAGAGUAGACCAGAGGGCUAGAAGCAAGUCAGUCGAGACCGACAGGCCAGACUGUUCACCACCACCAAGGAGCCAGACCCGGAAGAAGGGUAGCCUUCCCCUUAUUUGUGCACCAUACCCUCAAGCUCUUAUCGCACUGCAUAACCUCCUACACCAACAGAAGUUGACAAUGGUAGACAUCUUCAGAAAGGCUGGAAUGGAACAGAGAAAGAUCAUGAGAGCAGACUUCAUUAAAGUCAUCAAGGAGGUAUGUAGGGAAGAGAAAAGUAAGGAACUGCUGCAACUUUGCCUUGUUUUGCUGCAUGCCAACCCGGAGAAGUGGAAAAGCUCCAACUUCUCUUGUGUUACUCUCAGAGGAUGGCUCCCACAGCCUGUGAAAUGUUGAAGGGAAGAGGGAAGGGAAGGCUGCAGAGAUGCGAGCUGCCACCCAGACUGAGUCCCAGGAGGGAGUGAAACUCAUUGCCUCAUAGUCUCUAAAGACAGUCAGCGCUCAGUAACGUGGCCUGAACUGGCAUCAAGUUUCCUCGUGUUGAUACUUGGUCUUUCCUUGGCCAGUUUCAUGUGUCUGCCCGCUGCACUGCCUUUUAGUACCUGUUGGCACAGCAGAGCUCGUGCUGAGCCUCACUUUCCACAGGCUGCAACGGUACAGAACUGUCAAGAGCAUGUCCAGAUCUGUUAGGGUUUAGCAGUUCAGGUGUUUUCUGAUGUUCUGUUCCAAGCCAAAUUAGCUUCUUGACGCCCAGAUGGCUGAGAAGUUUGGCACAUUGAAAGCUGAGAGCUCAGCAGAGGACAGCAAAAGACCAGUAAAUUUUUCAGUGCUUGGUAAACUCAUGUAAAGCUUAAAGCUCAACAGGUUGCCUCUGUGCCUUUUCUGAAAAAGCAUUUAAAACAACAGCAAAGCUCAUCCCCCCCCUACUCCGGGCCAAGCCUUGUUUUUUUAUUGAUCACACUGUCGCUUCCUGUUUUGGCUGCCAGACAAAAGUUCCCAUCAGUGACAAGGAGCUGGAGGAUGUGGUCAUCUUCUUGACUUCUUCAAAGCGGAGGAAUUAUAUAAGCAGUGAAGAUCUGAUUGAAUGUCAAAAGCAGUGGCAGGAAAUGAGGAAAGGACAGCCCAAAGAGACCGGCGAAGGUGAGAGGAGAACCCUGGGCUGGGAAUCUCUAUCCUUGCAGAUGCCCUAAAAGUACACAGGUGGCAUUAGGGAAUGCCAAAGUAGAUCCAGAAUAUAGCUCCUUGCGACUAUUGUCCUGCAACGCGGUUGCUGA
RNAcentral lists this long non-coding RNA (1860 nucleotides) under Anas platyrhynchos platyrhynchos (common mallard). RNAcentral describes it as "lncRNA (ENSAPLG00000019916.1)". Lineage: Eukaryota; Metazoa; Chordata; Aves; Anseriformes; Anatidae. The record is from RNAcentral.